RNAcentral lists this ribosomal RNA (960 nucleotides) under Microsporidium sp. G. RNAcentral's name for it is "SSU rRNA". It matches the Rfam family "Microsporidia small subunit ribosomal RNA", at positions 69 to 983 of the family's 1311-position model. The record is from RNAcentral. Lineage: Eukaryota; Fungi; Microsporidia.
UUAGGGAGCUGCGGACUGCUCAGUAACAGGCGAUUAAUUUAAUCUUUACAAAUGGACAAACUCAGGAAACGGAGUGUAAUACAUAAAAAAUGAUUUUUUAAAUAAAAAGAAAACAUUUUUAGCUUGAAAAAAGCGGUAAAGAAUAAGACGCCAACCCAUCAGUUAGUAAGUAGGGUAAGGGCCUAUUUAGACGAAUACGGGUACGGGGAAUUAGGGUUUGAUUCCGGAGAGGGAGCCUGAGAGACGGCUACCAGGUCCAAGGACGGCAGCAGGCGCGAAAAUUACCGAAGCUCAAAUAGAGGCGGUAGUAAUGAGACGUAUAAAAAAUAAUAUAAGGGUAAAAAACUUAUUAAUAACUAGAGGUCAAGUCUGGUGCCAGCAUCCGCGGUAAUACCAGCUCUAGGGGUGUCUAUGAUGAUUGCUGCGAUUAAAAGGUCCGUAGUCGAAUUUAAAUAAUUGUUUGUAAUAUGUUAGAUAAAAUAAUAAAAAGAACAAUUACUUAAAUGAAAGGAAUAACAAGAGGUUGAUUAAUUGAGUAACGAGAGGUGAAAUUUGAUGACUUACUUAGGAGAAACAGAGGCGAAAGCGUCAAUCAAGUGUAAAUCCGAUGAUCAAGGACGUAGGCUGGAGUAUCGAACACGAUUAGAUACCGUAGUAGUUCCAGCAGUAAACUAUGCCUACGCCAAUGAAUGAAAGUUUGAUGGACGAGAAAUCUAGAGUAGGGCUUUGGGGAGAGUACACGCGCAAGCGAUAAAUUUAAAGGAAAUUGACGGAAGAACACCACAAGGAGUGGAGUGUGCGGCUUAAUUUGACUCAACGCGGGACAGCUUACCAAACCCGAAAACUAAAAGAGUGAAUACACGAUAAGUUUAAGAGUGGUGCAUGGCCGUUAUCGACGAGUGAAGUGAUUUUAUGGUUAAAUCCGACAAGUCGUGAGACCCUAUAAAAUAAAACAGGUAU